AGUCUGACGGAGCAACGCCGCGUGAGUGAAGAAGGUUUUCGGAUCGUAAAACUCUGUUGUGAGGGAAGAACAAGUACCAACUAACUAUUGGUACCUUGACGGUACCUCACCAGAAAGCCACGGCUAACUACGUGCCAGCAGCCGCGGUAAUACGUAGGUGGCAAGCGUUGUCCGGAAUUAUUGGGCGUAAAGCGCGCGCAGGCGGUCCUUUAAGUCUGAUGUGAAAGCCCACGGCUCAACCGUGGAGGGUCAUUGGAAACUGGGGGACUUGAGUGCAGAAGAGGAAAGUGGAAUUCCACGUGUAGCGGUGAAAUGCGUAGAGAUGUGGAGGAACACCAGUGGCGAAGGCGACUUUCUGGUCUGUAACUGACGCUGAGGCGCGAAAGCGUGGGGAGCAAACAGGAUUAGAUACCCUGGUAGUCCACGCCGUAAACGAUGAGUGCUAAGUGUUAGGGGGUUUCCGCCCCUUAGUGCUGCAGCUAACGCAUUAAGCACUCCGCCUGGGGAGUACGGCCGCAAGGCUGAAACUCAA
This 532-nucleotide ribosomal RNA is filed under the name Planococcus maritimus. Its description in RNAcentral is "bacterial SSU rRNA". It matches the Rfam family "Bacterial small subunit ribosomal RNA", at positions 380 to 904 of the family's 1533-position model. Lineage: Bacteria; Bacillati; Bacillota; Bacilli; Caryophanales; Caryophanaceae. The record is from RNAcentral.